Molecule: ribosomal RNA, 391 nt
Filed under: uncultured ciliate
Lineage: Eukaryota; Ciliophora
Description: partial small subunit ribosomal RNA
Rfam family: Eukaryotic small subunit ribosomal RNA
Source: RNAcentral
GCUUGUCUCAAAGAUUAAGCCAUGCAUAUCUAAGAAUAACUAACAUUAUCUUGAAUCUGUGAAUGGCUCAUUAUAUCAGUUAUAGUUUACAUGAUAGUCAAUACUACUUGGAUAACCGUAGUAAUUCUAGAGCUAAUACAUGCUAUAUGCCCGGCUUCUGGCAGGGCUGUAUUUAUUAGAUACUAAACCAGUGUCGCAAGACAUUGUGGUGAAUCACAGUAACUGAUCGAAUCGGCGCGCAAGCGGCGAUAAAUCAUUCAAGUUUCUGCCCUAUCAGCUUUCGAUGGUAGUGUAUUGGACUACCAUGGCAGUCACGGGUAACGGAGAAUUAGGGUUCGGUUCCGGAGAGGGAGCCUGAGAAACGGCUACCACAUCUAAGGAAGGCAGCAGG